GUGAGGAAUAUUGGUCAAUGGACGAGAGUCUGAACCAGCCAAGUCGCGUGAAGGAAGACGGUUCUAUGAAUUGUAAACUUCUUUUGUGCAGGAAUAAAGUGGGUUACGUGUAACCUUUUGUAUGUACUGUACGAAUAAGGAUCGGCUAACUCCGUGCCAGGAGCCGCGGUAAUACGGAGGAUCCGAGCGUUAUCCGGAUUUAUUGGGUUUAAAGGGUGCGUAGGUGGAUUGAUAAGUCAGCGGUGAAAGUUUGCAGCUUAACUGUAAAAUUGCCGUUGAAACUGUCGGUCUUGAGUGCAAAUGAGGUAGGCGGAAUGUGUUGUGUAGCGGUGAAAUGCUUAGAUAUAACACAGAACUCCGAUUGCGAAGGCAGCUUACUGGGAUGCAACUGACACUGAUGCACGAAAGCGUGGGUAUCAAACAGGAUUAGAAACCCUGGUAGUCC
Molecule: ribosomal RNA, 445 nt
Filed under: uncultured bacterium
Lineage: Bacteria
Description: partial 16S ribosomal RNA
Rfam family: Bacterial small subunit ribosomal RNA
Source: RNAcentral